UACAGAGGGUGCGAGCGUUGUCCGGAAUCACUGGGCGUAAAGGGCGCGUAGGUGGCCCGACAAGUCUGUGGUGAAAGCUCGACGCUCAACGUCGAGUCGGCCAUAGAUACUGUUGGGCUGGAGCACUGUAGAGGCUCAUGGAAUUCCGGGUGUAGCGGUGGAAUACGUAGAGAUCCGGAAGAACACCGGUGGCGAAGGCGGUGAGCUGGGCAGUUGCUGACACUGAGGCGCGACAGCGUGGGGAGCAAACAGG
RNAcentral lists this ribosomal RNA (253 nucleotides) under uncultured bacterium. Its description in RNAcentral is "partial 16S ribosomal RNA". It matches the Rfam family "Bacterial small subunit ribosomal RNA", at positions 524 to 776 of the family's 1533-position model. The record is from RNAcentral.